UGAGCAAUCUGCCCUUCUCAUCGGAAUAAGCGUUGGAAACGACGUCUAAUGCCGAAUACGACCUCCUUUCGCAUGAUCGGAGGUGGAAAGCUCCGGCGGAGAAGGAUGAGCUCGCGGCCUAUCAGCUAGUUGGUGUGGGUAAUGGCCCACCAAGGCGACGACGGGUAGCCGGCCUGAGAGGGUGACCGGCCACACUGGGACUGAGACGCGGCCCAGACUCCUACGGGAGCAG
RNAcentral lists this ribosomal RNA (232 nucleotides) under uncultured bacterium. RNAcentral describes it as "partial 16S ribosomal RNA". It matches the Rfam family "Bacterial small subunit ribosomal RNA", at positions 118 to 347 of the family's 1533-position model. The record is from RNAcentral.